UGCCCCCUGAUUAAUGAAUUGAAGGGCUGCAGUAAUUUGACUGUACAAAGGUAGCAUAAUCAUUAGUCAUUUAAUUGAUGACUUGUAUGAAAGAUUGGAUGAAAUAUAGACUGUCUUAAUUUUAAAUUAUAGAAUUUAAUUUUUUAGUCAAAAAGCUAAAAUAAUAUAAAAAGACGAGAAGACCCUAUAGAGUUUUAUUUUAAAUAUUUAAUUAAAAAAUUUUUUGUUAAUUAAAAUUUUAAUUUUUUAUAAAAUUUUGUUGGGGUGAUAGAAAAAUUAAAUUAACUUUUUUUUUUAUUUUACAUAAAUAAGUGUAUAAUUGAUCCAGUUAUAUUGAUUAUAAGAAAAAAUUACCUUAGGGAUAACAGCGUAAUUUUUUUUUUUAGUUCAUAUAAAAAUUAAAGUUUGCGACCUCGAUGUUGGAUUAAGAUAAAAUUUAAAUGUAGAAGUUUAAAAUUUUGA
RNAcentral lists this ribosomal RNA (462 nucleotides) under Euproctis cf. serulla H23. RNAcentral describes it as "partial large subunit ribosomal RNA". Lineage: Eukaryota; Metazoa; Arthropoda; Insecta; Lepidoptera; Erebidae. The record is from RNAcentral.